AUGCAAGCCUCGAUGUCUUUGUUCUGCGGCUGCCCUUGUUGUAAGCACACCCCGUCCCUGGCUGGGGCUUUGUGCAGCCAGCACAAUGGGAGCCGUCGAUAGGCCCAGCGAUAAGUCCUGGAGAGGGGGCUGGGCGCCACAGGAGCCCUGCAAAGGGACAGGGCGUCUGCACGCACGGGCAGCCACAGGCGUCCCGCCCAGAGGACAGUUCGCGGCAGGGAAUGGAACAAACCCUGGAAGAAACAACAGCUGAGAAGCUAUGGAAGGUCACUCGUUCUGUGUAUUCAAAAGAUUAGUUGUUUUGCCACGCUCAUGGAAAACUCCAGGAGAAGUCGAGAACGUUCUGCUGCUGCGGUGGAUGUGUAGAGAGGGACUAAACAGACCCAAAUCCCUCAGCCUCUCCCCGGGCACUGGCACCUCCACGAGAAUAAGAACUAACCUCCCCUCCCCGGAGGAAAACAAGCCUCUUGCUGGGAAGAGCAGCCGGCCUCUGCCGCGAGGAUACAAGCUGCGAGGCUCUUCGGUGGGAAUUUAGCAUCACCCCGGCAGGUCCCUUGCUGAGGUUACU
Molecule: non-coding RNA, 568 nt
Organism: Pelodiscus sinensis (Chinese soft-shelled turtle)
Lineage: Eukaryota; Metazoa; Chordata; Testudines; Trionychidae
Source: RefSeq, a predicted model, not a curated record